Bubalus bubalis (water buffalo) is the source of this 460-nucleotide long non-coding RNA. RefSeq lists it as uncharacterized. The record is from RefSeq and is a predicted model, not a curated record. NCBI's taxonomy places the organism in Eukaryota, Metazoa, Chordata, Mammalia, Artiodactyla, Bovidae. The transcript has 4 exons.
GAGAUUUUAACAAGAACCCCAACUUAAAAAAAAAAUUGUUAAAAAGAUGUUCAUGUAUUUUUCAAGAAAUGAAGUUUGAAGUUCAGAGAUGUGAUUUGGCUUCAAGGCAUUUUUUGACCUUAAGAGUCAAGUCAUAGAACCGAUGGAGAUGACAAUAGGGCUGUUGGUACAGGAACUGCAACUUAACCCUGCACUCGGCAUGGAGAAGCUUCAGUCAAGAUGAGGAAAUGAGGCACAGACUGAGAGCAGAAGCCAAACAUCCUGGCUCCUCAUUCAGGAACCUUCAGGGAAAAAAUGAGGCGACCCAGCCUAUCACCAGACCUGGGAUGGAGACAUGGGUUCGAUCCCUGAUCCGGGAAGAUCCCAUGCACCACGACUACUGAGCCCACACGCCACAACUACUGAAGCCCAUGUGUCCUAGAGCCGGCGAUCCACACCACACAAGCCACCGCAAUGAGAA